GACACUUUGGCCGAGUGGUUAAGGCGCAAGCCUGCUAUUAACGCGCUGUGGCUGUUAUAGCAUCGAGAGCUUGUGGGUUCGCCCUCGUGAGUUCGAAUCUCACAGGUGUCG
Molecule: non-coding RNA, 111 nt
Organism: Ascosphaera pollenicola
Lineage: Eukaryota; Fungi; Ascomycota; Eurotiomycetes; Onygenales; Ascosphaeraceae
Source: the annotation of a GenBank genome assembly